Molecule: long non-coding RNA, 1156 nt
Filed under: Piliocolobus tephrosceles (Ugandan red Colobus)
Lineage: Eukaryota; Metazoa; Chordata; Mammalia; Primates; Cercopithecidae
Description: lncRNA (ENSPTEG00000022556.1)
Source: RNAcentral
CCACAGUCCCUCCCCGAGAGCCAUGGUUUCCACAAGCACAGAGGCUGCUUUGGAGACAGUAGAUCAUUUUCAUCCCCAACACCAAACACACUCCUGCUCAGAUGGCAUUAUUCCUAAAGCAGCCUCGCUGGUUAGACUGAAGGGCCACGGUAGCCCAAGUGAUGAGCGGGGUAGAACGGAGCAGUCAGGAGAGAUCUUGUUCCCCAUAGGAAACUGGGCAUCUCUGUGGCCCUGAGCAUCCCAGGAGGCCGAUCGUACAGAGACCUCUGGUGCCUGAUCCCAGUUCGCAUCCACAUCCCUGGAAUAGCCCACGAUGGGCCCUUCACCCUUGGCAGGUGGACACCAUUCAACCUGCCAGGGCAGGAUGGACAUGGUAGAGGACGUGGAUAGUUUGUGGGCACAGGACCGAGAGGACAUCAUUAUAAACUAUGAGAAGGUACCAGUCAAUCUGCUUCUUGGAGGGAGGUGCACUCUUCCAGUGCACCCUGGUCAAAGGGUCCUGGGCUCCCUAGGAGCACAGGGUGGGGACGGGUGGCCACUACCCCCAGGCCCUUGCACCCUUUACCUUGCACCCCUCACCAAGGCUCCCUCUGGGAUACAGGGACACCGAGCUGGGCUGCCAGAGGAUAUGGGGCCUGAGCCUGUUGGAAACUACAACAACAUUGAUCACUUUGGAAUUUUGCAGUGAGUCCUCUGUGCUCCCCUCACCCCUAAAGCACCUGUCUCAGCUCAGGGAUGGGUUUGCUUUUAGAAAGGCCUUUCUGAGGUAGGACAUGUCCUGCCAGGUCGGGUCAACCUCCUUUCCAGGGUCAGAACUCCUCCUUGGUUUCCCUGCAGGUCCAGACCCAGGUUCCGGUUAGGCCAGAGGUGCGGGGCCCAUCUAGGGAGCGGGUGGGAAUGGAGACUGGCCUAGGUCAGGCCCCUGGACUCUCAGCAGUUCUGUUCACCAGUUAGCACAAGAGGAGCGGGGCAGCCUGAGGGUCUGGCCCUGUCUACCUGGAGACAACCCAGUGAGAUCCAAGUGUUGUGGCCACAGGGUGAGGGGACACCUGGCCCCACUUUCGGGCUGUUGUCCAGUAGGUCUCUGAGGAACCACCUGCCCCUGUCCUCCCCCAAUUUCCCUAGAGCUACAGCCCUCACCGUCCCCAUGGGGAAG